Molecule: ribosomal RNA, 730 nt
Filed under: Dicyphococcus ficicola
Lineage: Eukaryota; Metazoa; Arthropoda; Insecta; Hemiptera; Coccidae
Description: partial 28S ribosomal RNA
Source: RNAcentral
ACAGAGCCCGUGAAUCCGGACGCGCGGAAUUCAGGAUCGGCGACGACGUCGUCGAAAGCGGCGUCGUUUCGCGUCGAUUCGAUUUUUCCGUCGUCGACCCGUCAGCGGGUGCGGACGUCGCGACCCGUUCGUCGUCGGUCUCACGGGACGCGUUUCGAGUUCCGCGCGCGCGCGUUCGCGUUUUUUCCGUUCGCGGGAGAACGCGUCGCGUCGUGCGGAGGGCGCGUUUCCAGCCGGGCCGACGUCGCGGACGGUAGACGAAUUGCGAGCGGGUAAUCGACGCGGCCGAACGGCGGCCGUUAGCGCGGUCGUCGGGUGCCGCGUCGACGCCGGUCAGCGACGACUCUUCGGGCCUCUUUCCGACCCGUCUUGAAACACGGACCAAGGAGUCUAACGUGCGCGCGAGUCGCGGGGUACUCGAGUCGCGCUCGUUUCGCGACUCGGCACGACAACGAAACCCGUUUUACGUACGCUGUGCGGAAGGCGUAAUGAAAGUGAAAGGCGACGACGCUUCGCCCGUCGCCGGGGAAGACGGUGUCCCGAGCGUAUACGUUUCUCGGCCUUUCGCGCCGAGACCGGGCGCCCGCAUUCCCGGGGCGUCUCGCCGGUCCGUCGGCGCGUGGGGCGUUACGCGCGUUCGCGCGCGGAACGCUCGCCGCCGACGAAUCGAGGCGCACCUAUAGCGUGCACGUUGGUACCCGAAAGAUGGUGAACUAUGCCCGGCCAGGAU